GGGGAAUUUUCCGCAAUGGGCGAAAGCCUGACGGAGCAAUACCGCGUGAGGGAGGAAGGCUCUUGGGUUGUAAACCUCUUUUCUCAGGGAAGAACACAAUGACGGUACCUGAGGAAUAAGCAUCGGCUAACUCCGUGCCAGCAGCCGCGGUAAUACGGAGGAUGCAAGCGUUAUCCGGAAUGAUUGGGCGUAAAGCGUCCGCAGGUGGCAGUGUGUGUCUGCUGUUAAAGAGUGAGGCUCAACCUCGCAAAAGCAGUGGAAACUACACAGCUAGAGUACGUUCGGGGCAGAGGGAAUUCCUGGUGUAGCGGUGAAAUGCGUAGAGAUCAGGAAGAACACCGGUGGCGAAAGCGCUCUGCUAGGCCUGUACUGACACUGAGGGACGAAAGCUAGGGGAGCGAAUGGGAUUAGAUACCCCAGUAGUCCUAGCCGUAAACGAUGGAUACUAGGCGUGGCUUGUAUCGACCCGAGCCGUGCCGUAGCUAACGCGUUAAGUAUCCCGCCUGGGGAGUACGCACGCAAGUGUGAAACUCAAAGGAAUUGACGGGGGCCCGCACAAGCGGUGGAGUAUGUGGUUUAAUUCGAUGCAACGCGAAGAACCUUACCAAGGCUUGACAUGUCGCGAAUUUCGCUGAAAGGUGAAAGUGCCUUCGGGAGCGCGAACACAGGUGGUGCAUGGCUGUCGUCAGCUCGUGUCGUGAGAUGUUGGGUUAAGUCCCGCAACGAGCGCAACCCUCGUUUUUAGUUGCCAGCAUUAAGUUGGGCACUCUAGAGAGACUGCCGGUGACAAACCGGAGGAAGGUGGGGAUGACGUCAAGUCAGCAUGCCCCUUACGUCUUGGGCUACACACGUACUACAAUGCUACGGACAGAGGGCAGCAAGACAGCGAUGUCAAGCAAAUCCCGUAAACCGUGGCUCAGUUCAGAUCGCAGGCUGCAACUCGCCUGCGUGAAGGAGGAAUCGCUAGUAAUUGCAGGUCAGCAUACUGCAGUGAAUUCGUUCCCGGGCCUUGUACACACCGCCCGUCACACCAUGGAAGCUGGCAACGCCCGAAGUCAUUACUCCAACCUUUCGGGGGGGAGGAUGCCUAAGGCAGUGCUGGUGACUGGGGUGAAGUCGUAACAAGGUAGCCGUACCGGAAGGUGUGGCUGGAUCACCUCCUUUUAGGGAGACCUACCCACUCAAGUGUCGAAAAACAAUCAGUUACAUAGAUAUUGAGUUGGUCAUCCCAGGUCGUUCGAGUAUUGGUGAAAAUCUUUCAAAGUAUUAUUGGUUCGAUUAUUUGUAAAUAACGUGAUUGUAAAAACUCAGCAACAUGACAUAAAUCAAGUCAGACUGCUGAGGAUUUCUCAGCCAGAACCAUGAAAACUGCAUAGUAACGCGAAAUUAGCAGGUAGACACAGACAUUGAAAAGAUGAUUGUGUAUACAGGUGAAACACCAAUGAAAAAGUUUAAUUACGAAUUAGGAAUUACGAAUUAAACAGUAGUGGUCAAGCUAAUAAGGGCUAAUGGUGGAUACCUAGGCACACAGAG
Molecule: unclassified non-coding RNA, 1533 nt
Filed under: Komarekiella sp. N7-MA1
Lineage: Bacteria; Bacillati; Cyanobacteriota; Cyanophyceae; Nostocales; Nostocaceae
Description: bacterial SSU rRNA
Rfam family: Bacterial small subunit ribosomal RNA (bases 1-1164)
Source: RNAcentral